GUACUUUGACUGUGCAAAGGUAGCAUAAUCACUUGUCUUUUAAUUGGGGGCUGGAAUGAAGGAGGCGACGAAAUUUAGGCUAUUAGUCUGUAUCAUAAAAUUAACAUAAAGGUUAAAAGGCCUUCAUAAAUCAAAGGGACGAGAAGACCCUAUAAAACUUUACUAUAAAUUAAAUUAUUUAGGUAAAUUUACACAUAUAUAGUUUAGCUGGGGCGGUUUAUAUAAAAACAAUUGUAAAAGAAAUAUAUUGAAUAAGAUUAGAGAACUUUAAAAGGAAAUAAACAAGUUACUUUAGGGAUAACAGCAUAAUUCUCCCAGAGAGUCCUAAUUGGCGGGAGAGCUUAUGACCUCGAUGUUGAAUUGGGGUGUCUAAUGUAAGUAGAAAUAUAUUAAGAUAGUCUGUUCGACUAUUAAAUCCCC
Molecule: ribosomal RNA, 420 nt
Filed under: Proasellus vandeli
Lineage: Eukaryota; Metazoa; Arthropoda; Malacostraca; Isopoda; Asellidae
Description: partial 16S ribosomal RNA
Rfam family: Bacterial large subunit ribosomal RNA
Source: RNAcentral